UACGAAGGGGGCUAGCGUUGCUCGGAAUCACUGGGCGUAAAGGGUGCGUAGGCGGGUUUUUACGUCAGGGGUGAAAUCCUGGAGCUCAACUCCAGAACUGCCUUUGAUACUGAAGAUCUUGAGUCCGGGAGAGGUGAGUGGAACUGCGAGUGUAGAGGUGAAAUUCGUAGAUAUUCGCAAGAACACCAGUGGCGAAGGCGGCUCACUGGCCCGGUACUGACGCUGAGGCGCGAAAGCGUGGGGAGCAAACAGG
Molecule: ribosomal RNA, 253 nt
Filed under: uncultured bacterium
Lineage: Bacteria
Description: partial 16S ribosomal RNA
Rfam family: Bacterial small subunit ribosomal RNA
Source: RNAcentral